Small nucleolar RNA from Malania oleifera, 106 nucleotides. NCBI's taxonomy places the organism in Eukaryota, Viridiplantae, Streptophyta, Magnoliopsida, Santalales, Ximeniaceae. The record is from RefSeq and is a predicted model, not a curated record.
ACCUGAUGGUGUGGGCAUUGACGUAGUCAGUCCCUAAAGUGCUCUCAAGUCUUAAAAAGUAGUUCCUCACCCAUCUGUGAGAAACUGGUGAUGGCUCUCCUAAGCU